Molecule: long non-coding RNA, 1037 nt
Organism: Oncorhynchus keta (chum salmon)
Lineage: Eukaryota; Metazoa; Chordata; Actinopteri; Salmoniformes; Salmonidae
Exons: 2
Source: RefSeq, a predicted model, not a curated record
CCAAAAAAUAAAUAAAUCUCUACUCAUUUUUUUUUUUUUUAUCCUUCUAAGUCCAACUCUCAAACUCUUUUUAGAUGUUGGUUUUAUAAUUUUAUGUCUAAACUUGCAAGAGAUUGUAUUUCUGUUAAUUGGAUAUUUUGAGUUGGGCUGUUCUUGCAUAUGUGCUCCAGGGAGAGCUGUGGGGCUGUUACCACUGGAUACACUGAAACCUACUGUAGAGGAUGACUCAGCAUUUCUAUAACUGGUCCCAGACCUGUCUGGGCUUUAGACUUCUCUGACUAUAGCCUGGUCCCAGACCUGUCUGGGCUUUAGACUUCUCUGACUAUAGCCUGGUCCCAGACCUGUCUGGGCUUUAGACUUCUCUGACUAUUGUUGUCAUGCCAUACAUGUUACAUGUCUUAUACAUGUUUGAAAGGGCAACAAUACUCCUGAGGAGUUGCCUGAAGCUUUUAGAGGUCUGGGACCAGGCAAGUAUUGACACACUUUAUGCACCUGUCCCUCUGGGUUACUUUUCACAUUUGGGUUAUAAAAGCAGCACCAACAUACAAUAGCUUUUGGGUUGUGAUUGUGUGAUAGAAUAUGUGCUCCCCAUAGUUUCAACUGAAUGUCUGUUUGUGUGGUUGUUUUUUCUCUUCGGUUGUAACUGUGGCGUGAGUGUGAUUUUGAUUACAGGUGCUUGUCAAGGUGUUGAAAAGGCAGUGUGACCCUGCCCAUUGAGGCUGAAGUGUCCGAACGUGUUUUUAAAAGGGAAAAGGGUCCUCCUUUGUGGCGGUUUCUUGCUUGUAAUGAUUUAUUUUUACAUACUUCGUUUUAAAUUGGUCUAAAAUUCUGUUUGGUGCAUGUGCUGGAAAAGGAAAGUUUUAUUGAAUGUAGCUUACCAUAUACACAGUGCACAUUCAUGCCUUUUGAUGAUUAUUGUGGUGCUUUGUUACAUUUAUUUAUUGGAUAUUAUUUCACCAAAUGCUGUUUUAUCCCACUGGAAAAAAAUGUAUGUUCAGCAGUGACUACCUGCUAUUAAAACGAGUUGGAGAAUAAAA